CUGGCUACGGCUACGGCCAGGGUCCACCGCCACCACAACAAUCCCAACCCUACGGUUCUGCACAGCCAUACUCCUCCGCUUACGGCGCACCACCACAACCUUCUGCUCCAUACGGCACCGCACCACAACCUACUGCUCCAUACGGCAGCGCACAACAUGCUGCCCCAUACGGCACCGCACAACAAGCUGCUCCAUACGGCAGCUCACAACAUGCUGCUCCAUACGGCACAGCGCAAGCUUAUGGCUCCCCCUACGC
This 256-nucleotide long non-coding RNA is filed under the name Populus trichocarpa (black cottonwood). RNAcentral's name for it is "long non-coding RNA (PTRI_LNC003602)". Lineage: Eukaryota; Viridiplantae; Streptophyta; Magnoliopsida; Malpighiales; Salicaceae. The record is from RNAcentral.